UACGUAGGGUCCGAGCGUUGUCCGGAGUUACUGGGCGUAAAGGGCGCGUAGGCGGUACUUCAAGUCAGGCGUGAAAGCCCCGGGCUCAACCUGGGAACCGCGCUUGAGACUGGAGAACUAGAGUUCGGGAGAGGAUGGUGGAAUUCCCAGUGUAGAGGUGAAAUUCGUAGAUAUUGGGAAGAACACCGAUGGCGAAGGCAGCCAUCUGGACCGACACUGACGCUGAGGCGCGAAAGCGUGGGGAGCAAACAGG
RNAcentral lists this ribosomal RNA (253 nucleotides) under uncultured bacterium. RNAcentral describes it as "partial 16S ribosomal RNA". It matches the Rfam family "Bacterial small subunit ribosomal RNA", at positions 524 to 776 of the family's 1533-position model. The record is from RNAcentral.